Molecule: microRNA precursor, 189 nt
Filed under: Oryza brachyantha (malo sina)
Lineage: Eukaryota; Viridiplantae; Streptophyta; Magnoliopsida; Poales; Poaceae
Description: MIR812 microRNA precursor family
Rfam family: MIR812 microRNA precursor family
Source: Rfam by way of RNAcentral
AAUAAACCAAUUUUUCACUUUUUAUCUUCAAUUUUUAACUCUUCAUCUUAUUCAAUUUUUUUUUGCGAUUGAUAUUUUUAUUUUUAUUAGAUGAUAAAUUAUAAAUAGUACUUUACGUGUGACUAAUUUUUUUAAUUUUUUACAAAAUUUUCAAAUAAGAUGAAUGGUCAAACGUUGGAUAUAGAAACU